AAAAAAAAAACCUUUUAUCAAUUCAAAAUGAACAAUUAAAUUACACCUUCAAGAACCCUUCAAGGCAUGUUCCAGCAUGGCCACGGUCAAAUGACUGAAACAAGUGAAAGAUCUAAUUGUACACACAGGAAUACAGACACAAAUGGUAGUAGUGGUAAUACAGCACCUGACUACGUCCAUUAGUAAAGUGGCUGGAGAGAAAAAAUAUCCGAGGGAAGUGUUCUACAGACUAAAUACAAAUAUGAUAGGUUCUAGGUUUUCUCACAUAGAGGAAAAAAAAAAAACUUUGGGAUUAUCCAUACAAUUUGUAGACAAAAACUCCCUUAAAAUCUAAAAGAAAAUACACAAAAACAAGAUAUCUGCAAUAAGCUCAAUUAUGUGUCGGUGUCACAUAAAAAGCACCCAGUGCACUCUAUAAAGUGGUUUGGUGUUAGGAUGGACAUCUCGGCCAUAAAAGCCAAGCCAAAACAUAUGACUGGAACCUGGUACAUUUCUCCAGCUUGCCAGCUCCAGUUAAACCGUCUGACCCAUGCCAGCAUGGGAAAUAGACGUUAAAUGUUGAUGAAGGGGGUCUCAAACUAAAUGAUUUUACACUGGUGGGAGUAGGGCAAACUAAAGGUCAAACAAAACAAUAAUCAUGGCUUGACCGAAAAA
Molecule: long non-coding RNA, 654 nt
Organism: Octopus sinensis (East Asian common octopus)
Lineage: Eukaryota; Metazoa; Mollusca; Cephalopoda; Octopoda; Octopodidae
Exons: 2
Source: RefSeq, a predicted model, not a curated record